AUGGGCUGGCAAGAAGAGUAA
This 21-nucleotide microRNA is filed under the name Monodelphis domestica (gray short-tailed opossum). RNAcentral's name for it is "mdo-miR-7372-5p". The record is from miRBase by way of RNAcentral. Lineage: Eukaryota; Metazoa; Chordata; Mammalia; Didelphimorphia; Didelphidae.